GACGAACGCUGGCGGCGUGCUUAACACAUGCAAGUCGAACGGAAAGGCCCUGCUUUUGUGGGGUGCUCGAGUGGCGAACGGGUGAGUAACACGUGAGUAACCUGCCCUUGACUUUGGGAUAACUUCAGGAAACUGGGGCUAAUGCCGGAUAGGAGCUCCUGCUGCAUGGUGGGGGUUGGAAAGUUUCGGCGGUUGGGGAUGGACUCGCGGCUUAUCAGCUUGUUGGUGGGGUAGUGGCUUUCCAAGGCUUUGACGGGUAGCCGGCCUGAGAGGGUGACCGGCCACAUUGGGACUGAGAUACGGCCCAGACUCCUACGGGAGGCAGCAGUGGGGAAUAUUGCACAAUGGGCGGAAGCCUGAUGCAGCAACGCCGCGUGCGGGAUGACGGCCUUCGGGUUGUAAACCGCUUUCGCCUGUGACGAAGCGUGAGUGACGGUAAUGGGUAAAGAAGCACCGGCUAACUACGUG
This 468-nucleotide ribosomal RNA is filed under the name uncultured bacterium. RNAcentral describes it as "partial 16S ribosomal RNA". It matches the Rfam family "Bacterial small subunit ribosomal RNA", at positions 28 to 507 of the family's 1533-position model. The record is from RNAcentral.